RNAcentral lists this ribosomal RNA (468 nucleotides) under uncultured bacterium. Its description in RNAcentral is "partial 16S ribosomal RNA". It matches the Rfam family "Bacterial small subunit ribosomal RNA", at positions 31 to 507 of the family's 1533-position model. The record is from RNAcentral.
GAAGAAAGCUGGGGGCGUGCUUAACACAUGCAAGUCGAACGGAAAGGCCCUGCUUUUGUGGGGUGCUCGAGUGGCGAACGGGUGAGUAACACGUGAGUAACCUGCCCUUGACUUUGGGAUAACUUCAGGAAACUGGGGCUAAUACCGGAUAGGAGCUCCUGCUGCAUGGUGGGGGUUGGAAAGUUUCGGCGGUUGGGGAUGGACUCGCGGCUUAUCAGCUUGUUGGUGGGGUAGUGGCUUACCAAGGCUUUGACGGGUAGCCGGCCUGAGAGGGUGACCGGCCACAUUGGGACUGAGAUACGGCCCAGACUCCUACGGGAGGCAGCAGUGGGGAAUAUUGCACAAUGGGCGGAAGCCUGAUGCAGCAACGCCGCGUGCGGGAUGACGGCCUUCGGGUUGUAAACCGCUUUCGCCUGUGACGAAGCGUGAGUGACGGUAAUGGGUAAAGAAGCACCGGCUAACUACGUG